GAUGAACGCUGGCGGCGUGCCUAAUACAUGCAAGUCGAGCGAACAGACGAGGAGCUUGCUCCUCUGACGUUAGCGGCGGACGGGUGAGUAACACGUGGAUAACCUACCUAUAAGACUGGGUUAACUUCGGGAAGCCGGAGCUAAUACCGGAUAAUAUAUUGAACCGCAUGGUUCAAUAGUGAAAGACGGUUUUGCUGUCACUUAUAGAUGGAUCCGCGCCGCAUUAGCUAGUUGGUAAGGUAACGGCUUACCAAGGCAACGAUGCGUAGCCGACCUGAGAGGGUGAUCGGCCACACUGGAACUGAGACACGGUCCAGACUCCUACGGGAGGCAGCAGUAGGGAAUCUUCCGCAAUGGGCGAAAGCUUGACGGAGCAACGCCGCGUGAGUGAUGAAGGUCUUCGGAUCGUAAAACUCUGUUAUUAGGGAAGAACAAAUGUGUAAGUAACUAUGCACGUCUUGACGGUACCUAAUCAGAAAGCCACGGCUAACUACGUG
RNAcentral lists this ribosomal RNA (497 nucleotides) under uncultured bacterium. Its description in RNAcentral is "partial 16S ribosomal RNA". It matches the Rfam family "Bacterial small subunit ribosomal RNA", at positions 28 to 507 of the family's 1533-position model. The record is from RNAcentral.